Molecule: microRNA, 23 nt
Filed under: Sarcophilus harrisii (Tasmanian devil)
Lineage: Eukaryota; Metazoa; Chordata; Mammalia; Dasyuromorphia; Dasyuridae
Description: Sha-Mir-12475-P21_5p (mature (guide))
Source: RNAcentral
AUGCAUCCUGAAAUCCCAUUGUU